AUACGGAGGGAGCAAGCGUUAUUCGGAAUCACUGGGCGUAAAGGACGCGUAGGCGGGUUUGUAAGUCAGGUGUGAAAUCCUACAGCUCAACUGUAGAACUGCACUUGAAACUACAGACCUAGAGUAUGGAAGUGGCAGAUGGAAUUAGUGGUGUAGGGGUAAAAUCCGUAGAUAUCACUAGGAAUACCGAAAGCGAAGGCGAUCUGCUGGGACAUUACUGACGCUGAGGCGUGAAAGCGUGGGGAGCAAACAGGAUUAGAUACCCCAGUAGUCC
RNAcentral lists this ribosomal RNA (274 nucleotides) under uncultured bacterium. RNAcentral describes it as "partial 16S ribosomal RNA". It matches the Rfam family "Bacterial small subunit ribosomal RNA", at positions 523 to 796 of the family's 1533-position model. The record is from RNAcentral.